Molecule: non-coding RNA, 112 nt
Organism: Acanthosepion pharaonis
Lineage: Eukaryota; Metazoa; Mollusca; Cephalopoda; Sepiida; Sepiidae
Source: the annotation of a GenBank genome assembly
ACAGCCAUAACCCACUGAAAUCCCAGUUCCCGUAUGAUCACUUAAGUUAAGCAACAUUGAGACUGGGCACUAACUAGAUGGGUGACAGCUUGAGAAUACCAGGUGCUGUAAG